This 478-nucleotide ribosomal RNA is filed under the name uncultured bacterium. Its description in RNAcentral is "partial 16S ribosomal RNA". It matches the Rfam family "Bacterial small subunit ribosomal RNA", at positions 28 to 523 of the family's 1533-position model. The record is from RNAcentral.
GACGAACGCUGGCGGCGUGCUUAACACAUGCAAGUCGAACGGUAAGGCCCUUCGGGGUACACGAGUGGCGAACGGGUGAGUAACACGUGGGUGCUCUGCCCUGCACUUCGGGAUAAGCCUGGGAAACUGGGUCUAAUACCGGAUAGGACCACUGCCUGCAUGGGUGGUGGUUGAAAGCUGUUGCGGUGUGGGAUGGGCCCGCGGCCUAUCAGCUUGUGGGUGGGGUGAUGGCCUACCAAGGCGACGACGGGGGGCCGGCCUGGGAGGGUGACCGGCCACACUGGGACUGAGAUACGGCCCAGACUCCUACGGGAGGCAGCAGUGGGGAAUAUUGCACAAUGGGCGCAAGCCUGAUGCAGCGACGCCGCGUGAGGGAUGACGGCCUUCGGGUUGUAAACCUCUUUCAGCACCGACGAAGCGCAAGUGACGGUAGGUGCAGAAGAAGGACCGGCCAACUACGUGCCAGCCGCCGCCGUAA